RNAcentral lists this unclassified non-coding RNA (985 nucleotides) under Hevea brasiliensis (rubber tree). Lineage: Eukaryota; Viridiplantae; Streptophyta; Magnoliopsida; Malpighiales; Euphorbiaceae. The record is from RNAcentral.
GACUCUCAAGAUCUGCGCCAAUCACUUCAUACUUCCAACGAUGUCAGUUCAGGAGCACGCUGGAAAUGACAAGUCCUGUGUGUGGCACGCCUCUGAUUUCGCUGAUGGUGAAUUAAAGAAUGAACUUUUUUGCAUCCGUUUUGCAUCAGUUGAGAAUUGCAAGACAUUCAGGGAAAUGUUUCAAGAAGUAGCUGAAUUCCAAAAAACAAAGGAGGAAAAUAAAGAUGCAACUGCUGCUGCUGAUGCCUUUAAUAAGUUGAGCGUUGAAGAAAAGAAAACUGAGGAGACAACUGAAGAAGAGGUGCCAGCUGAAGCUGAGGAGGCAGCAACUAAGGCUGAUGCAGAGAAUAAAGUUAAGGAGCCUCCUUCCUCAACCUGAGAAUGUUGGUUCCAUACUUUGGCAAUAUGAUGAGGUCUACCCCAAUUCUCGCCCCAUUUGUGGUUUGCUCGUGUCUGAAAUUUGGACUUAGUUAGUGGGCGGGAAUGGUGUGGGGUCCAUGCAUUCUGCAGUUUGAGUCUGUCUGCAUUAGUCAAAACAUUGGGUCAUUUGCAUGUUGAGGGUUAUGACCUGGAAAGGAUAGUUCAUCUAGGAUUUUGCAGUAGAACUAUUUAUUUACUUGGUGCAAAUUAAAUGAUUUAAUGCUCUAGUGGAUGAAAAAAGGAAAACAAAGAAAAAGAAAAAUGGAACUUCAAAGAGUUUUUGUUGGGAUAUAAGUUCCUGAAUUGUGCUGAGUCUGCUAUUUAUGUUGACGUAAAUUUGUGUGCUAUUGUCAAUACUUUCCUUUUUUCUGUUGAAAUUUGUUUAUCUAAUUUCCUUGAGCUAAUAUUCCAUUUAUGAGGAAUAAGUUUUGAUAUGUCAAUUGGUGAGAAAUGUAAAUCAGGUGAUUGGUUGUAUUAGAAAGAGUUGGAGGCUUAUGUAGGGGCAGUGCUGGCCAAGAGAUGACAUUGAAGAAUUAUUUAAUAAUAUUAAUAAAAAGGAAUUAAA